GACGAACGCUGGCGGCGUGCUUAACACAUGCAAGUCGAACGGAAAGGCCCUGCUUUUGUGGGGUGCUCGAGUGGCGAACGGGUGAGUAACACGUGAGUAACCUGCCCUUGCCUUUGGGAUACCUUCAGGAAACUGGGGCUAAUACCGUAUAGGAGCUCCUGCUGCAUGGUGGGGGUUGGAAAUUUUCGGCGGUUGGGGAUGGACUCGCGGCUUAUCAGCUUGUUGGUGGGGUAGUGGCUUACCAAGGCUUUGACGGGUAGCCGGCCUGAGAGGGUGACCGGCCACAUUGGGACUGAGAUACGGCCCAGACUCCUACGGGAGGCAGCAGUGGGGAAUAUUGCACAAUGGGCGGAAGCCUGAUGCAGCAACGCCGCGUGCGGGAUGACGGCCUUCGGGUUGUAAACCGCUUUCGCCUGUGACGAAGCGUGAGUGACGGUAAUGGGUAAAGAAGCACCGGCUAACUACGUG
Molecule: ribosomal RNA, 468 nt
Filed under: uncultured bacterium
Lineage: Bacteria
Description: partial 16S ribosomal RNA
Rfam family: Bacterial small subunit ribosomal RNA
Source: RNAcentral